RNAcentral lists this transfer RNA (84 nucleotides) under bacterium. RNAcentral describes it as "tRNA-Leu". It matches the Rfam family "tRNA". From Rfam's summary of the family: Transfer RNA (tRNA) molecules are approximately 80 nucleotides in length. RNAcentral also lists the same sequence under 1 other name. The record is from RNAcentral.
GCCGGGGUGGUGAAAUUGGUAGACGCACAGGACUCAAAAUCCUGCGGACUUUUGUCCAUGCGGGUUCGAUUCCCGCCCCCGGCA